Molecule: ribosomal RNA, 670 nt
Filed under: Phyllodistomum inecoli
Lineage: Eukaryota; Metazoa; Platyhelminthes; Trematoda; Plagiorchiida; Gorgoderidae
Description: partial large subunit ribosomal RNA
Source: RNAcentral
AGAGGUAAACGGGUGGAGUUGAACUGCAUGCUCCGUGAAUUCAGCUGGUGAGAUUGUUGUGGGCUUGGUCAUGUGGGGUGGACAAUGAGGUAUGCUUAGCUGCAUGUCCCGGCCGGCUGGUUGGGAUGCGCGAUACGCUCAUCAUGCGUUGCGCGCCUCUGCUGUUCAUCUGCCCUCUCUCCAGUGCAUUUUCGCGGAGUGUUCACCAAGACCGGCGUUGCUGUCCGGCUGCUUUAGUUAAACCGGUCUUACGCGUCCUUGUGGCGUUGUUUGGUCGGGACGGCAGGUAGCCCGUUGGCUUGCUUUGCAUGCUUUCGUGUGUAAUCAGCUGACUAAAGCGGGACUGUGCAGUACGUCGGAGCUGGCGGCCAGUUGUGCCUGCUCGUGCGUCAUGCCUUCCGAAGCAUCCUGUUCUGAUCGCCAUGUUGCCUGUCUCGGCAGGUCUGGUGGUGGACAGGGUUCUAUUGGUUGGUGGUUCCUCGGGUAGCACUUUAUAGAGCCAAUAGUCUUUGGUGUCGGGUAGACUAUCCACCUGACCCGUCUGAAACACGGACCAAGGAGAGUAACAUGUGCGCGAGUCAUUGGGGCGUAACGAAACCCAAAGGCGCAGUGAAAGUAAAGGUCUGACUUGUUCAGUCUGAGGUGAGAUCCUGUUGUUUCUCAUGCCUGG